This 22-nucleotide microRNA is filed under the name Gallus gallus (chicken). RNAcentral describes it as "gga-miR-12265-5p". The record is from miRBase by way of RNAcentral. Lineage: Eukaryota; Metazoa; Chordata; Aves; Galliformes; Phasianidae.
AUGGCUGUGAGUGCGGCUGAGG